AGCGAACGCUGGCGGCAGGCCUAACACAUGCAAGUCGAACGAACUCUUCGGAGUUAGUGGCGGACGGGUGAGUAACACGUGGGAACGUGCCUUUAGGUUCGGAAUAACUCAGGGAAACUUGUGCUAAUACCGAAUGUGCCCUUCGGGGGAAAGAUUUAUCGCCUUUAGAGCGGCCCGCGUCCGAUUAGCUAGUUGGUGAGGUAAAGGCUCACCAAGGCGACGAUCAGUAGCUGGUCUGAGAGGAUGAUCAGCCACAUUGGGACUGAGACACGGCCCAAACUCCUACGGGAGGCAGCAGUGGGGAAUCUUGCGCAAUGGGCGAAAGCCUGACGCAGCCAUGCCGCGUGAAUGAUGAAGGUCUUAGGAUUGUAAAAUUCCUUCACCGGGGACGAUAAUGACGGUACCCGGAGAAGAAGCCCCGGCUAACUUCGUGCCAGCCGCCGCGGUAA
This 449-nucleotide ribosomal RNA is filed under the name uncultured bacterium. RNAcentral's name for it is "partial 16S ribosomal RNA". It matches the Rfam family "Bacterial small subunit ribosomal RNA", at positions 29 to 523 of the family's 1533-position model. The record is from RNAcentral.